UCCUGCCUCUAUCUUUCUUUUCACAAGGAAAACAAAUUUUUUGGUUCAAAGAAUAGUCUUCUCUAUAUCAUCUUUCAAUUAUUUCUCUAUGUUAUCAUCCAUCUGCUUUAUCUGGGGUGGUGACCGAGAGGAUUUAAUGUUUAAUUGAGACUAUUUUAUAUCACCAACUCCUACCUCACUGUCAUGUUUUUUUUCUUCCCCAAACUCGAACAGUCCACUAGCCACGUAUUGAACUUAUUCUUGUAGUGUGU
This 251-nucleotide long non-coding RNA is filed under the name Elaeis guineensis (African oil palm). RNAcentral's name for it is "long non-coding RNA (EGUI_LNC015557)". Lineage: Eukaryota; Viridiplantae; Streptophyta; Magnoliopsida; Arecales; Arecaceae. The record is from RNAcentral.